RNAcentral lists this ribosomal RNA (216 nucleotides) under Glomeromycotina sp. RNAcentral describes it as "partial small subunit ribosomal RNA". The stretch from base 40 to 216 matches the Rfam family "Eukaryotic small subunit ribosomal RNA", at positions 686 to 864 of the family's 1831-position model. Lineage: Eukaryota; Fungi; Glomeromycota. The record is from RNAcentral.
GGGUCAGUAGGUUGGUCGUGCCACCGGUACGUACUGCUCUCACUGAUUCCUCCUUCCUGAAGAACCGUAAUGCCAUUAAUUUGGUGUUGCGGGGAAACAGGACUGUUACUUUGAAAAAAUUAGAGUGUUUAAAGCAAGCUAACGCUUCAAUACAUUAGCAUGGAAUAAUGAAAUAGGACGAUCGAUCCUAUUUUGUUGGUUUCUAGGAUUGACGUA